RNAcentral lists this ribosomal RNA (403 nucleotides) under uncultured bacterium. RNAcentral's name for it is "partial 16S ribosomal RNA". It matches the Rfam family "Bacterial small subunit ribosomal RNA", at positions 30 to 526 of the family's 1533-position model. The record is from RNAcentral.
AUUGAACGCUGGCGGCAGGCCUAACACAUGCAAGUCGAGCGAGCGGCGGACGGGUGAGUAAUGUAUGGGGACUGCCCGAUAGAGGGGGAUAACUACUGGAAACGGUAGCUCAUACCGCAUACUAUCGGAGAACCCAUAUGGGAUUAGCUAGUAGGUGAGGUAAUGGCUCACCUAGGCGACGCUCCCUAGCUGGUCUGCGAGGAUGAUCAGCCACACUGGUACUGAGAGCCGGCCCAGACUCCGACGGAGGCAGCAGUGGGGAAUAUUGUACAAUGGGCGAAACCCUGAUGCAGCCAUCCCGCGUGUAUGAAGAAGGCCUUCGGGUUGUAAAGUACUUUUGGCAGAGAAGCGGUAUCUGCAGAAUAAGCACCGGCUAACUACGUGCCAGCAGCCGCGGUAAUUC